CUGUCUUCACUAUAGAACAUUAUGUAGGAACAUGUCUUCUCUAUAGAACAUUAUGUAGGAACAUGUCUUCACUAUAGAACAAUAUGUAGGAACAUGUCUUCACUAUACAACAUUAUGUAUGAACAUGUCUUCACUAUAGAACAUUAUGUAUGAACAUGUCUUCACUAUAGAACAUUAUGUAGGAACAUGUCUUCACUAUAGAACAUUAUGUAGGAACAUGUCUUCACUAUAUAUAGAACAUCUGUCUUCAUUAAUGUUAUUAUACAAGUCCAUAAUUUUAUUUUAAUAGCUAUUUAACUUUUAUCUUGAGUGUGCCAGUUGUCUGACUGUACAUAAUCCACCAAUCUCAUAGAAAACCUUUUAGUAUUUCUGUCUUUCGUCUCUUUAGAUAUCAUUGAAAACUUUUGUUGGAUCUUUCUUGAUAUAAAAAAGUCAGUUUCUACACAGAGCUAUAUCUAUUGUCCUCAAUUGCCAUGACAAUCAUUGAAGACUGAAUAAAGACAUCUCAAAAAACACAGUUCUAAAGUUUCACAAUUUUCCAAGACUUCACAAUAUACAUUUUUACAAAUUAUACAGUGCACUAUUCAUAAUAAUAAACAAAAUUUUAAAUAUGCCUACUUUUUACAACAUCCUGAAUGUUUAUUAUCUAGAACUCUGUUUACAAACGAUUUUGUUUUCAUAUUAUUUUUUGGUAUUUUCUUUUUUUAUAUUUUUUACAGAGCUCUAAAUAAUAAAAAUAUCAGAUUUUAAAGGUUAGAGGCAAAGUCUUUCUAAAUCAGAAUAUUGCAAAAUUUUAAUGUUGGUUGAUUUUCUCAUUGUUGAAGUCCAUACAGUAACCUAUUUUACAUCAACAUCAUUUAGUCUCUGUAGGACAGUUGUCUCACAUCUCUUCAUUUCAUAACCAAUCAAUUUGUAGGUUCUAUAAAGUGGGCCGAUGAUGAAGGUAAGGGAAAUUUUGACUGCCAACUGAGAGGAGCAUAUGUUGGACAGAAAUUAAGCCUUGCAACAUGCCACCUACUGACCCCUUAAAGACUUGUGGCAAGGGUUCUUUAACGUGCAGAGUGGCACUGUCCCUACACAUAGGAACUAUAUACUUUUUAAAUUGCCAUUCCAAUUUUUGUUUGUUUUAAAAAUGAUAACUUUAGAAGACUUUAAGGCGGGGGUCAUAAAAAAUAUUACAAUAAUCCCACCUUUUACACCACCCUCAAUGUUUAUUAUCUAGAACUCUGUUUACAAACGAUUUUGUUUUCAUAUAUUAUUUUUUGGUAUUUUCUUUUUUUAUAUAUUUUUUUGAUAUUUUUUUUUACAGAGCUCUAGAUAAUAAAAAUAUCAGAUGUUAAAGGUUAGAGGUAUUAACAAAGUCAUUCUAAUUCAGAAUAUUGAAAAAUUUUAAUGUUAGUUGAUUUUCUCAUUGUUGAAGUCCAUACAGUAACAUGCAACUUCAUUUGGUCUCUGUAGGAUAGUUCUCUUUCAUCUCUUCAUUCCAUAACAAAUCAAUUUGUAGGUUCUAUAAAGUGGGCCGAUGAUGAAGGUAAGGGAAAUUUUGACUGCCAACUGAGAGGAGGAUAUGUUGGGCAGAAAUUAAGCCUUGCAACUGGCCACCUACUGACCCCUCAAAGACUUGUGGCAAGGGUUCUUUAACGUACAUAGUGGCACUGUCCCUACACAUAGGAACUAUACUUUUUAAAUUGCCAUUCCAAUUUUUGUUUGUUUUAAACAUGAUAACAUAAGAAGACUUUAAGGUGGGGGUCAUAAAAAAUAUUACAAUAAUCCCACCUUUUACACCACCCUCAAUGUUUAUUAUCUAGAACUCUGUUUACAAACAAUUUUGUUUUCAUAUAUUAUUUUUUGGUAUUUUCUUUUUUGAUAUUUUUUUUGAUAUUUUUUUUACAGAGCUCUAGAUAAUAAAAAUAUCAGAUGUUAAAGGUUAGAGGUAUUAACAAAGUCAUUCUAAUUCAGAAUAUUGCAAAAUUUUAAUGUUAGUUGAUUUUCUCAUUGUUGAAGUCCAUACAGUAACAUGCAACUUCAUUUGGUCUCUGUAGGAUAGUUCUCUUUCAUCUCUUCAUUCCAUAACAAAUCAAUUUGUAGGUUCUAUAAAGUGGGCCGAUGAUGAAGGUAAGGGAAAUUUUGACUGCCAACUGAGAGGAGGAUAUGUUGGGCAGAAAUUAAGCCUUGUAACAGGCCACCUACUGACCCCUCAAAGACUUGUGGCAACGGUUCUUUAACGUACAUAGUGGCACUGUCCCUACACAUAGGAACUAUACUUUUUAAAUUGCCAUUCCAAUUUUUGUUUGUUUUAAACAUGAUAACAUAAGAAGACUUUAAGGUGGGGGUCAUAAAAAAUAUUACAAUAAUCCCACCUUUUACACCACCCUCAAUGUUUAUUAUCUAGAACUCUGUUUACAAAUGAUUUUGUUUUCAUAUAUUAUUUUUUGGUAUUUUCUUUUUUUAUAUUUUUUUUGAUAUUUUUUUUACAGAGCUCUAGAUAAUAAAAAUAUCAGAUGUUAAAGGUUAGAGGUAUAAACAAAGUCAUUCUAAUUCAGAAUAUUGCAAAAUUUUAAUGUUGGUUGAUUUUCU
This is a long non-coding RNA of Mytilus californianus (California mussel), 2577 nucleotides long. RefSeq lists it as uncharacterized. The transcript has 6 exons. NCBI's taxonomy places the organism in Eukaryota, Metazoa, Mollusca, Bivalvia, Mytilida, Mytilidae. The record is from RefSeq and is a predicted model, not a curated record.